This 66-nucleotide transfer RNA is filed under the name Ptenopus garrulus (Whistling gecko). RNAcentral describes it as "tRNA-Gly". Lineage: Eukaryota; Metazoa; Chordata; Lepidosauria; Squamata; Gekkonidae. The record is from RNAcentral.
ACCCUUCUAGUAUAAUGUAUAGGUGAUUUCCACUCACCCGGUCUCGGUUAAAACCGAGGAAGGGCA